AACGAACGCUGGCGGCAUGCCUAACACAUGGAAGUCGAACGAGACCUUCGGGUCUAGUGGCGCACGGGUGCGUAACGCGUGGGAACCUGCCCUUAGGUUCGGUAUAACUCCCCGAAAGGGGUGCUAAUACCGGAUAAUGUCUUCGGACCAAAGAUUUAUCGCCUUUGGAUGGGCCCGCGUUGGAUUAGCUAGUUGGUAGGGUAAAAGCCUACCAAGGCGACGAUCCAUAGCUGGUCUGAGAGGAUGAUCAGCCACACUGGGACUGAGACACGGCCCAGACUCCUACGGGAGGCAGCAGUGGGGAAUAUUGGACAAUGGGCGAAAGCCUGAUCCAGCAAUGCCGCGUGAGUGAUGAAGGCCUUAGGGUUGUAAAGCUCUUUUACCCGGGAUGAUAAUGACAGUACCGGGAGAAUAAGCUCCGGCUAACUCCGUG
This 433-nucleotide ribosomal RNA is filed under the name uncultured bacterium. RNAcentral's name for it is "partial 16S ribosomal RNA". It matches the Rfam family "Bacterial small subunit ribosomal RNA", at positions 29 to 507 of the family's 1533-position model. The record is from RNAcentral.